This 466-nucleotide ribosomal RNA is filed under the name uncultured soil bacterium. RNAcentral's name for it is "bacterial SSU rRNA". It matches the Rfam family "Bacterial small subunit ribosomal RNA", at positions 26 to 487 of the family's 1533-position model. The record is from RNAcentral.
AGAUUGAACGCUGGCGGCAUGCCUUACACAUGCAAGUCGAACGGCAGCACGGGGGCAACCCUGGUGGCGAGUGGCGAACGGGUGAGUAACAUAUCGGAACGUGCCCUGGAGUGGGGGAUAACUAGUCGAAAGACUAUCUAAUACCGCAUACGAUCUACGGAUGAACGUGGGGGAUCGCAAGACCUCAUGCUCGUGGAGCGGCCGAUAUCUGAUUAGCUAGUUGGUGGGGUAAAGGCCUACCAAGGCAUCGAUCAGUAGCUGGUCUGAGAGGACGACCAGCCACACUGGGACUGAGACACGGCCCAGACUCCUACGGGAGGCAGCAGUGGGGAAUUUUGGACAAUGGGCGCAAGCCUGAUCCAGCAAUGCCGCGUGAGUGAAGAGCCUUCGGUGUAAGCUUCUUUGUCGAGGAAGAACGGUUCGUAGGUCUAAUAUCGUUGGAGUCGUAAGUCGUACGGUACCUAGG